Molecule: ribosomal RNA, 504 nt
Filed under: uncultured bacterium
Lineage: Bacteria
Description: bacterial SSU rRNA
Rfam family: Bacterial small subunit ribosomal RNA
Source: RNAcentral
UAGUCCACGCCGUAAACGAUGAUUACUCGAUGUCGGCGAUAUACUGUCGGUGUCCAAGCGAAAGUGAUAAGUAAUCCACCUGGGGAGUACGAUCGCAAGGUUGAAACUCAAAGGAAUUGACGGGGGCCCGCACAAGCGGUGGAGCAUGUGGUUUAAUUCGAUGAUACGCGAGGAACCUUACCUGGGCUUAAAUGCAUUCUGACAGAUUGGGAAACCAAUUUUUCUUCGGACAGAUUGCAAGGUGCUGCAUGGUUGUCGUCAGCUCGUGCUGUGAGGUGUCGGGUUAAGUCCCAUAACGAGCGCAACCCCUAUUUCUAGUUGCCAGCGAGUAAUGUCGGGGACUCUAGAGAAACUGCCCGCGCAAGCGGAGAGGAAGGUGGGGAUGACGUCAAAUCAUCACGGCCCUUACGUCCAGGGCUACACACGUGCUACAAUGGUUGGUACAAAGGGCAGCUACCAGGUGACUGGAUGCUAAUCUCUAAAGCCAAUCUCAGUUCGGAUUGG